RNAcentral lists this ribosomal RNA (585 nucleotides) under uncultured bacterium. Its description in RNAcentral is "bacterial SSU rRNA". It matches the Rfam family "Bacterial small subunit ribosomal RNA", at positions 26 to 623 of the family's 1533-position model. The record is from RNAcentral.
UCAAAUCACGCUGGCGGCGUGAAAAACAUGCAGGUCGAACGAGAAAGCGCUCUUCGGAGUGUGACUACAGUGGCGAACGGGUGAGUAACGCGUGGGUAACCUGCCCUUUGGAGCGGGAUAACUCGGGGAAACCCGGGCUAAUACCGCAUGAGCCUACGAGUUUUAAGCGAAGUAGGGAAAGCUCUUCGGGGUGCCGAAGGAGGGGCCCGCGUCCGAUUAGCUAGUUGGUGGAGUAAGAGUUCACCAAGGCGACGAUCGGUAGCCGGUCUGAGAGGACGGACGGUCACACUGGGACUGAGACACGGCCCAGACUCCUACGGGAGGCAGCAGUGGGGAAUUUUGCGCAAUGGGGGCAACCCUGACGCAGCAACGCCGCGUGAAGGAGGAAGGCUUUCGAGCCGUAAACUUCUGUUCUGGGGGACGAUAAUGACGGUACCCCAGCAGCAAGCCCCGGCUAACUCCGUGCCAGCAGCCGCGGUAAUACGGGGGGGGCGAGCGUUUGUUCGGAAUUUACUGGGCGUAAAGGGCGCGCAGGCGGGCCCGAGAAGUUUUUAGGUGAAAGCCCCGGGCUCAACCCCGGGAAGG